RNAcentral lists this ribosomal RNA (463 nucleotides) under uncultured bacterium. Its description in RNAcentral is "partial 16S ribosomal RNA". It matches the Rfam family "Bacterial small subunit ribosomal RNA", at positions 28 to 507 of the family's 1533-position model. The record is from RNAcentral.
GACGAACGCUGGCGGCGUGCUUAACACAUGCAAGUCGAACGGAAAGGCCUUUUCGGAGGUACUCGAGUGGCGAACGGGUGAGUAACACGUGGGUGAUCUGCCCUGCACUCUGGGAUAAGCCUGGGAAACUGGGUCUAAUACCGGAUAGGACCGCACUUUAGUGUGUGUGGUGGAAAGUUUUUUCGGUGUAGGAUGAGCCCGCGGCCUAUCAGCUUGUUGGUGGGGUAAUGGCCUACCAAGGCGGCGACGGGUAGCCGGACUGAGAGGUUGGUCGGCCACAUUGGGACUGAGAGACGGCCCAGACUCCUACGGGAGGCAGCAGUGGGGAAGAUUGCACAAUGGGCGCAAGCCUGAUGCAGCGACGCCGCGUGGGGGAUGACGGCCUUAGGGUUGUAAACUCCUUUCGCCAGGGACGAAGCGUUUUGUGACGGUACCUGGAGAAGAAGCACCGGCUAACUACGUG